GAGGAUGUUAACACUGACCUUUUUACAGAUGUUUCUUUUUACAUUAAUACUUAGUGUUCAUCCAUGGAAAAAUGAGUUGUACUUCUGCUAAUGUCAAGGGCAAGACUCAAAUUCAAAAAACAUCACCACUACCAAUAAACAAAACCAAAGGGAAAGGAUUCCUUAUCAGCAGACAGUUACAGCUCCCACUAGGACACUGCCUUCUCAGCGGCUUCAGUUAUCAGAUAUUCCUGGACAUACUUUCCAAGCCAUGAAAAAUAACUCUCCCUCUCCCCACGGUCUCCCUCUCCCCGCAGUCUCCCUCUCCCCACGGUCUCCCUCUGAUGCCGAGCCGAAGCUGGACUGUACUGCCACCAUCUCAGCUCACUGCAACCUCCCUGCCUGAUUCUCCUGCCUCAGCCUGUCGAGUGCCUGGGAUUGCAGGAGCGCGCCACCACGCCUGACUGGUUUUCCUAUUUUUUUGGUGGAGACGGGGUUUCGCUGUGUUGGCCGGGCUGGUCUCCAGCUCCUAACCGCGAGUGAUCUGCCAGCCUCGGCCUCCUGAGGUGCCGGGAUUGCAGACGGAGUCUCCCUCACUCAGUGCUCAAUGUUGCCCAGGCUGGAGUGCAGUGGCGUGAUCUCGGCUCGCUACAACCUCCACCUCCCAGCCGCCUGCCUUGGCCUCCCAAAGUGCCGAGAUUGCAGCCUCUGCCGGGCCGCCACCCCGUCUGGGAAGUGAGGAGCGUCUCUGCAUGGCCGCCCAUCGUCUGGGAUGUGAGGAGCCCCUCUGCCCGGCCACCCAGUCUGGCAAGUGAGGAGCACCUCUUCCCGGCCGCCAUCCCCUCUAGGAAGUGAGGAGCGUCUCUGCCCGGCCGCCCAUCGUCUGAGAUGUGGGGAGUGCCUCUGCCCCGCCACCCCUUCUGGGAUGUGAGGAGUGCCUCUGCCUGGCCGCCACCCCAUCUGGGAGGUGAGGAGCGUCUCCGCCCGGCCGCCCCGUCUGAGAAGUGAAGAGCCCCUCCGCCCGGCAGCCGCCCCAUGUGUGAAGUGAAGCCCCCCCUCCGCCAGGCAGCCGCCCCGUCCGGGAGGGAGGUGGGGGAUGCCUCUGCCCGGCUGCCCCGUCUGGGAAGUGAGGAGCCCCUCUGCCCAGCAGUCACCCCGUCUGGGAGGUGUACCCAACAGCUCAUUGAGAACGGGCCAUGAUGACGAUGGCGGUUUUGUCGAAUAGAAAAGGGGGAAAUGUGGGGAAAAGAUAGAGAAAUCAGAUUGUUGCUGUGUCUGUGCAGAGGGAAGUAGACGUAGGAGACUCCAUUUUGUUCUGUACUAAGAAAAAUUCUUCUGCCUUGGGAUGCUGUUAAUCUAUAACCUUACCCCCAACCCCCUGCUCUCUGAAACAUGUGCUGUGUCCACUCAGGGUUAAAUGGAUUAAGGGCGGUGCAAGAUGUGCUUUGUUAAACAGAUGCUUGAAGGCAGCAUGCUCGUUAAGAGUCAUCACCACUCCCUAAUCUCAAGUACCCAGGGACACAAACACUGCGGAAGGCCGCAGGGUCCUCUGCCUAGGAAAACCAGAGACCCUUGUUCACUUGUUUAUCUGCUGACCUUCCCUCCACUAUUGUCCUGUGACCCUGCCAAAUCCCCCUCUCGGAGAAACACCCAAGAAUGAUCAAUAAAUACUAAAAAAAUAAAAAAAUAAAAAAAGUA
Molecule: long non-coding RNA, 1677 nt
Filed under: Homo sapiens (human)
Lineage: Eukaryota; Metazoa; Chordata; Mammalia; Primates; Hominidae
Description: HSALNT0319617
Source: RNAcentral